Molecule: ribosomal RNA, 468 nt
Filed under: Triticum aestivum (bread wheat)
Lineage: Eukaryota; Viridiplantae; Streptophyta; Magnoliopsida; Poales; Poaceae
Description: partial small subunit ribosomal RNA
Source: RNAcentral
AUGCAUGCUGCUGCUGCUGCUGGCCGUCCCAGUUGGUGCGUUGCUGCUGCUGGUCGAGUCGUGCUGGCUGAAGUACGAGCAGCAGCAGCAGCCGCCGCCCCCGCCGGCCGAUGUCACGCUCCUGGUCGUCCUGAUCGUGCUCCAGUGGCUGAUCGCGUUUGUCGCCGUCGGAGCGGCGUCCUCCGCGCUAAUCGUGGACCUCGUCGCCACGCCCGUGUGCGCGUCGUACCAGCUCGCCGCCGACGGGACGGCAUGUGCCGGCGGGGCUCUCGCUGCGGCGUCGGCGGUCGGGCUGCUCUGGGUCCUCUGGUCCCGGUUGCACCAUGCCCAGGCGCCUCCGCAGGCUCAAGCCUAACUCCUUCCUUUGUCGCCGACGCCGACGGUCUCUUCUUGCUUCAUUUCCCCCAUCUUCUGUUUCGUUAUGCAUCUUUGUUCAAGACUGAGAACGGCAUGGCCACCCGGUCUUGA